Molecule: ribosomal RNA, 971 nt
Filed under: Escherichia coli
Lineage: Bacteria; Pseudomonadati; Pseudomonadota; Gammaproteobacteria; Enterobacterales; Enterobacteriaceae
Also listed under: 1 other name
Description: partial 23S ribosomal RNA
Rfam family: Bacterial large subunit ribosomal RNA
Source: RNAcentral
CGGGACACGUGGUAUCCUGUCUGAAUAUGGGGGGACCAUCCUCCAAGGCUAAAUACUCCUGACUGACCGAUAGUGAACCAGUACCGUGAGGGAAAGGCGAAAAGAACCCCGGCGAGGGGAGUGAAAAAGAACCUGAAACCGUGUACGUACAAGCAGUGGGAGCACGCUUAGGCGUGUGACUGCGUACCUUUUGUAUAAUGGGUCAGCGACUUAUAUUCUGUAGCAAGGUUAACCGAAUAGGGGAGCCGAAGGGAAACCGAGUCUUAACUGGGCGUUAAGUUGCAGGGUAUAGACCCGAAACCCGGUGAUCUAGCCAUGGGCAGGUUGAAGGUUGGGUAACACUAACUGGAGGACCGAACCGACUAAUGUUGAAAAAUUAGCGGAUGACUUGUGGCUGGGGGUGAAAGGCCAAUCAAACCGGGAGAUAGCUGGUUCUCCCCGAAAGCUAUUUAGGUAGCGCCUCGUGAAUUCAUCUCCGGGGGUAGAGCACUGUUUCGGCAAGGGGGUCAUCCCGACUUACCAACCCGAUGCAAACUGCGAAUACCGGAGAAUGUUAUCACGGGAGACACACGGCGGGUGCUAACGUCCGUCGUGAAGAGGGAAACAACCCAGACCGCCAGCUAAGGUCCCAAAGUCAUGGUUAAGUGGGAAACGAUGUGGGAAGGCCCAGACAGCCAGGAUGUUGGCUUAGAAGCAGCCAUCAUUUAAAGAAAGCGUAAUAGCUCACUGGUCGAGUCGGCCUGCGCGGAAGAUGUAACGGGGCUAAACCAUGCACCGAAGCUGCGGCAGCGACGCUGAUGCGUUGUUGGGUAGGGGAGCGUUCUGUAAGCCUGUGAAGGUGUGCUGUGAGGCAUGCUGGAGGUAUCAGAAGUGCGAAUGCUGACAUAAGUAACGAUAAAGCGGGUGAAAAGCCCGCUCGCCGGAAGACCAAGGGUUCCUGUCCAACGUUAAUCGGGGCAGGGUGAGUCGAC